This 5282-nucleotide long non-coding RNA is filed under the name Homo sapiens (human). Its description in RNAcentral is "non-protein coding lnc-STMND1-4:8". The record is from RNAcentral. Lineage: Eukaryota; Metazoa; Chordata; Mammalia; Primates; Hominidae.
AGCAGUUGGCUGCCGCCGCCGCAGCUCAAGGAUCCGACUUCAUGGGGGUGGGGGGCACCCUCUGGCGGGCGGCCCGGCGAGCCGCACAGAGCACGGCGAGCGCACCGCGCGGCGGCCGGCCCGCGCCCUUAACCCUUCGCUGCGCGCCGCCCGGGGAGGCGGGCACCUUUCCCAAAGAGUGGCUCGGGAUGGGGUGCGGGGGAGGGGAGACGCGGACCGGAGGGCAAGGUUCCUUCCAGGUUUGGGAAGGGGGCGGGGAGCUGGGCGAUGAGGUAAUUUGAGCGGUGACGGGUCGGUCCUCGCGCGCCUCCCUGGGUCCCUGCACCUAGUUGGAGGGGACUGAACGACAACGGGGCGCUACUCAGGCAACCUGGGGGACUCCCCCAAGGGCUGUCAGGCUUCAGCUGGGAGCCGAUGCAACACCCCAGCGGGGAGGGGAGGUCGGCCCAUUCUAAUCCCGACGUGUCCUUGGUCCCAGGCGCUCGGAGCAGCAUCUGAGAGGGCUCACUCUGAUCAUCAGCUGCACGUUAAGCCACAAACCGGCGUCGCUUCGGCGUUCCGGAACCCAGGCCUGGGGGCCGCGGGGAUUGCCUCUGCGUGCAACUCCGGAAAGUUUCAAGGGGUCCCCCGACUGCACAGGUCCGGAAAUCGGCUUUGAUAUGGAACUACUCCGCUCUAGCCUGGAAAGGAGACCCGCGCACUCCUCUCGCAGCUAAUUUCGGAUCAUUAAUUUAAUCGGAAAUGAGGUAACCAGUGUAGGAGACAGAGAAAGCAACCGGAGCAUCAAAUGGCAGUUCUCGAGAAUCGACGAGGAACUUAAAUCUGGACUCAGGGUUUCAGUGCGGUCUCCGACUCCCACCACCCCGCCCCUCCGCCUGUCUCGCCGCCAGGUGUGACCUCCACGCGAAGGAAUCUUCUUCGGAUGGGUGCACCUUGCCAACAGGUGUGGCACCUGGAGGACUAGGAGGCGCCUCCAGACUAAGGGCGCUCAGUGCGGCGUUCUUGUUGCAGAUGAUUCUGGAAGGCCGGUAGGUGUCGGGCGACAUUUGACCUUCUUCAGGUGCUUAGAACUAAGUGUCUGGAAACAUGAUCCUUUCGCGUAAGUUUCUUUCUGAAAGCCACCAAUCUUGACUGUAAGCUGUAUUUGAGAGAUCUUUUGGCUGAGUUUACUUAUGACCUAACGGUUAGUCACCAACUGAGGCAGGGCACAGGAUGACCAAAAAAAAAGUGUCAGUUUUUACACAACUCUGGCCUGCAAGAGCCUACGUGCUUCAUAAAUAAAAAUAAACAUACGAGCGAGGAAGGUGCAGAGCCCCGGAAAUAUUUUUUUCUCACAUUUUUGAAAUACCAUGCACAUAUAUGUGGCUAUUUAAGUAUAACUACUAGUGUUCACUCUUACUCAUUUCUACAACUUUUUUUUUUCCAUUUAAAAAUCGAUUAUUGUUACGGUUUAAACCUCGGGUUGGUCUAAAGUGACAUUGUUGGUCUCAUUACAGCCUCUAGUGGACAGUUAACAUCAGUUUCCUGAAAAGGCUCUGACUGGUUUUGUUUUCGUUGACAAGCUUUGUCAAGGUGAAGGUUAGUACGUAAGAGCAUAACCGGGUAAAAUGUCCCCUCACCCCUAUCCUCACCCCCGCCCCCAACACCCUGCUUGGCAAAGACGACUUCAGAAAGGAGCAGAAGCUUGUUGGCUUUAUAUAGAAAAGACGUAUGCUUUGUGCUGCAGGUAUUAUUAUUACUGGACUGUGAAUAAACAGAAAGCUUCUGCUAUUCAUUUCAGUUUCAGACAGCUUUCAUAAAAACUAAAUUCAUCUCAAAUAUUUUUAUAACAGAAAAUAUUGGUUGCCAUGUUUUUGGCUUAACUGCGAUGUUUUUAUUCCAACUCAUAAUCUGCAAACUGUCCAAUCCACCUCCACUCUAUUUUUAGACAUCUUACAUUUAGAUAAUUUUCAGUUAAAAAAAAGCUAAUAUUGUAAUUUUACGUUGGCACAAGCAGUUAAUUUACGUGAUUUUAACAACCUUAAAUUAAAACACAUAAUUCAGAUUACAGUUAGUCAAUUAAUUUAAAUGUUCUCUCAAGGAAGCUAAAUAUGUAUAUUACCCAAAUGGUAAAAACAAUUAAUAAGAAAUGUGUCAUUUACUUUCUUAGCCAUUAAGUUUAAAGCCAUAAACUGCCACCAAAAUCUGUAACUAUUUCUUCCUGCAAGAUCCAACAUAAACACCAUACUCAUGAAACUGUCUCAUUACCUUUAGUACUGAAAUAUUUUGUUUUCAGAUGGCAAAAUAUUAAGUGUACAAUCACAAAUAACAGGCACUGAUUCUUUAGAAACAAGACUUUCUCGUGCAAAUAAAAACUCAAUGAAAAAGGGCAGAGCUUCCAAGAAGCUAGUAGACAAAUAUAUAGUACUAUAGUCCUACUCAUAAGGCUGGUGUUAUGUUUGUAAAAGCAUAAGUCAACCUUUGAAAUUACAGGAAAUCGAUAAAUAAGGCCUGAUGAGCUUGACUCGUAUCCUGUGUCAUAGAUUGCUUAAAUACCAUGAAAAAUAAUUGUAAUCACAUAUCUAUUUUACUGUUUUGGUGGUAUCUACUCUUGAAGGUGUUAAAUGGGCCAGCAAGUAUAUAUUAUAUAAUUACAUAUUACACCCUUACUUAAAGUGUAGUUUUCAAAGUCGCCACAGCAGCACUUGGGAGCUUUUUAGACAUUCAGAGUCAAGGGUUCUACCCCAGACAUACCAAAUCAGAAUCUGCCUUUGAACCAGGCCCCUGGGUGAUUUCUAAACACAUUAUCAUGUGAAGAACACUGGUCUAUACCACAGGGAUCAACCUAAAUAAAUUUGGGCACAAGUGCAGAAGUUAAUUCCUCUAUUUAUUUCUUUUUUGCUCCUUUUUAGUAAGUACAGCCCUUAUUAAUUUGUGCUUUUCAAUGAAAAAUUAUUAUGUUAUAUGCUUUGGAUAAAUACUACUGCACUGUAAGUGCACACAUCUGCAUCAUUAUUGCCAAAAAAGAAUGCUCUGCUGAGGAAUGUACUGGGGUCUUGAACAUGAACAUUUUCUUCAUGGCAGCAGAGGGAGCACAAGAGUGCUUAAUAAAACCAGUGCACAGGUCUCUCCAAAUCAUGACAGAUUUUACAUUGUAGUAUAUGUUUUCAUUGGAAGUAGCCUGUUAUGUAGUUCAAAAUGAAGCAAAUCAACUGAGCAAACACAGAUAGGCUUACCAGGUCAUAACAACUAUGUAACUGAACAGAUUGAAAGUUGAAUAAAAUAAAGAUAAACUUCUUUAGAGUUUUAGGCUUGAAUUCUUAAAAGAAAGUGGACCUCAAAAGUGAAAAAGAUGCCUUAGCUUUGCUCAAAAACAAAGAUAACACAACACAGAAUCAGGCAACCCUAAGAUGCCUUAGCUUUACUCAAAAACAAAGAUAACACAGAAUCAGGCAACCCUAAUAGUAGCUCCUGUUUAUCUAAAAACAGAGUCAGUUCACUGGACCCUACAUCAGGUAACUUAAUUUCAUUUGGUGUCAUACAUGUUGGUUAAGGUCCAUGCGCCUUUUGCUGUGUUUACACUCAGAAUAAUUUUAGGGGUUUCUCCUUAAUGCUUGCAGUGGUGAGGAUUUAGGUUUCAGUUAUACCUACGUAGUAUUUCAUACUUUUCACUACUCUUCCAUAUUGCAUCCUCAAAAACUCCCUUGAAGCAGAUAACAUACUUGGUAAAAGCCAAGUAUCCAAAAAGUUAUGGAACCACAUCGUGCUUUCAUAACAUUGAGUCAUUUAAUUGUUUCAGUAGUGCUUUGAGGUAUUCAUAAAUGAGGGAAAUUAUACAGACUAAAGAUCCAGAGCAUUUUUUACAGUUUUAAAGGUUUUUCAAAGUUAUUCUUAGAUAAUAUGUUUAUAUAUUUAUUAUUUAUUUACAAGCAGUCACUUACUCUGCAUCUACAAUAACUAAGACUUGAGAAUAUAAAAUUGAGUAAGACAUCUUAGUGUGCAAGGAGAUCAGAGCAGAACAGAUCUUACCUUUGGAAAACUGUUAAUUUUUACCACGUUGAAACACAAAGAUUCAUAGUUGAUGCGAUCCAGCACCUGCCAGAAUCAUAGCAAUCAGACUUCCAAAUAUGAGAAUCAAACAUUAGAAUCAUUAAAAAUUUGAGAGGCGGGGGGGACAGUUGUACAACUCUUGAGCAAAAGUUGACUUAUAAGCUAAUAUUAAUAUUUCAAAUUUGUACGACAAACAAAUGUGAAGAUAUAAUGUGUAUUUUAUUUGAAUGUCUUCCCUAUCACAAAAUCACAUGAGUAAGUUGAGUUGGUAAACAUUUAUUUAUUUUUAUCUUUUCUAAAAUGCUGAAAAGAAUUUUUCUCCCACACUAAAGAGGGUUUGCCAAGUUUCUGCCUGGAGCAAUUUGUUAUGGCUGUGUAAUAAAUCCCAGAAAGUUUGAAUUUUUAAUGGAAACACUGACAGAAUAAAGAGGGUGUAAUCCUACAUAUGUCAUUUAAAAAUCUGAGCAAACCAUAGUGUGCUUGCAAAACAAAUAUACUUUCCUUAGAUUGCACUCACAAAUAAGGCUGGGGAGACCACAAAAGUAAAACAAACUCAAAAGUGAAAAACACUCACACAAUAGACUCUGAGGUCAGCUCACCACACCCAGACUAAAGUCACUGGGCUCUGUGCGUGUCACCAAGACUCUUAAAAGACAUACUUCUGAAUCAUCUUUCUUGACCCUCCACCAAACUGUAGCAAGACAGGCUUCCUGGGAAUGAAAAUGACAUUAGCAUUAGUCAAGAGUGAAAUUAAAGUCAUUGUACUCAAACAUCUGCCAACAGUCUGUGAUUUCAUAGUACCCACCUCUGAAAUAAGACUCUGUCUACAAUUAAAAACAAAGAAAAAAAGGUACUUUAGGUCUUCACUAUCCACUAUGUCUACUGAGCACUUGAAAUGUGUGAUUAGUCCAAAUUAACAUGUGCUGUAAGUGUGAAAUAUUCCUCAGAUUUUAAAAACUUGGUAUAAAAAAUACAUAUUUUACAUAUAAUAUAUAUUAUUCAUUAUUCCUAUAUUAUUAAUUUUAUGUAUUAUAUAUACACACAUGUAAUAUCUCCAUUUUUACAUUGAUUAAAUGUUGAAAAUAUUGGGUUAUUUUUUAAUAGUGUACAUUGGGUUAAAUAAAAUAUAUUAUUAAACUUCAUUUUACCUGUUUCUUUUUACUUUUUUUUUUGAGACAGGGUCUAGGUCUGUCACCCAGGCUGCAGUGCAGUGCAGUAGUGCAGUCUCUGCUCACUGCAACCUCCACCUCCUG